RNAcentral lists this ribosomal RNA (295 nucleotides) under uncultured bacterium. RNAcentral describes it as "partial 16S ribosomal RNA". It matches the Rfam family "Bacterial small subunit ribosomal RNA", at positions 333 to 647 of the family's 1533-position model. The record is from RNAcentral.
AUUGCCUACGGGGCGCAGCAGUGGGGAAUAUUGCGCAAUGGGGGAAACCCUGAUGCAGCAACGCCGCGUGAGUGAUGACGGCCUUCGGGUUGUAAAGCUCUGUCUUCAGGGACGAUAAUGACGGUACCUGAGGAGGAAGCCACGGCUAACUACGUGCCAGCAGCCGCGGUAAUACGUAGGGAGCGAGCGUUGUCCGGAAUUACUGGGUGUAAAGGGAGCGUAGGCGGGGAUGCAAGUUGGGUGUCAAAACUACCGGCUCAACUGGUAGUCGCACUCAAAACUGCAGCUCCUGAGU